GCCUGAGUAGGGCAGUAGGAUAGCGCGUCAGUCUCAUAAUCUGAAGGUCGUCAGUUCAAGACCCACCUCGGGCA
Transfer RNA from Toxocara canis (dog roundworm), 74 nucleotides. It matches the Rfam family "tRNA". From Rfam's summary of the family: Transfer RNA (tRNA) molecules are approximately 80 nucleotides in length. Their secondary structure includes four short double-helical elements and three loops (D, anti-codon, and T loops). Further hydrogen bonds mediate the characteristic L-shaped molecular structure. tRNAs have two regions of fundamental functional importance: the anti-codon, which is responsible for specific mRNA codon recognition, and the 3' end, to which the tRNAs corresponding amino acid is attached (by aminoacyl-tRNA synthetases). tRNAs cope with the degeneracy of the genetic code in two manners: having more than one tRNA (with a specific anti-codon) for a particular amino acid; and 'wobble' base-pairing, i.e. permitting non-standard base-pairing at the 3rd anti-codon position. NCBI's taxonomy places the organism in Eukaryota, Metazoa, Nematoda, Chromadorea, Rhabditida, Toxocaridae. The record is from Rfam.